GGAUUCGAGUGCAAUUAUGGAGUUUUUAGGGAGGAAUUUCUGUACAAUAUAGGCAGGUUUUUGAACAUUUGUAAAGUGGACAUGUGCAGAAUAUAAAACAUUGAAUAGAUUACAAAAGCAUCCCAGGUAUCUAAAAUUACAUACAUACAGACAUAAAGUUUGAGGGUUGGUAGAGACACUUACAUAGCAUAUAUACAGAAAGAUAUAUAAUACUGUAUUACAAAGUCAUGAAUUACUUCCUGGUAUCUAUCAGGUGGCUCAGGCUAUAUGGAGUCCUUUAUGGUAUAGGUAAGCCGAGUCUACUAAAAAUGUGUCGUAGAAAUCUGGUGCUGGAGAACACAAUAGGUUGCGGGAUACUACGGCAUAUUACAGCAUGGAGCCCCUACAUUUAUAUAGGGCAUUGAAUGGACAAAGUCUAUAAACAUGAGAGUUAUAUAUGUUUGGUAGCACACCAUGCCCAGGCCAAUGGGAGAUCCACCAGUUGGUUAUCGUUGAUAACUGGUAUAGAAAUUUGUUUCUCUAUUGUGUUCUCUAGUACCAGAUUUCUAUGACACAUUUUUGGUACACUCAGCUUGCCUAUGCCAUGGGGAGCUCCAUAUGGCCUGGGCUACCUGAUGGAUACCAGGAAGUGGUUCUUUGUAAUACGGUAUUAUGUGUCUUUCUGUAUAUAUGCUGUGUGGGUGUCUCUACCAACCCUCAAGCUUUGUGUCUGUAUGUAUGUAAUUUUGGAUGCCCGGGAUUCUUUUGUGAUCUAUUCAAUGUUUUGUAUUCUGCGCAUGUCUGUUUUACAAAUGUUUAGGGGUUUCUCUGU
RNAcentral lists this long non-coding RNA (811 nucleotides) under Androctonus crassicauda. Lineage: Eukaryota; Metazoa; Arthropoda; Arachnida; Scorpiones; Buthidae. The record is from RNAcentral.